GUCGAACGAGAAAGUGGAGCAAUCCAUGAGUAAAGUGGCGCACGGGUGAGUAACACGUGACUAACCUACCCUUGAGUGGGGAAUAACCUAGGGAAACCUGGGCUAAUACCGCAUAACACCUACGGGUCAAAGGAGCAAUUCGCUUAAGGAGGGGGUCGCGGCAGAUUAGCUAGUUGGCGGGGUAAUGGCCCACCAAGGCAGUGAUCUGUAUCCGGCCUGAGAGGGCGCACGGACACACUGGAACUGAAACACGGUCCAGACUCCUACGGGAGGCAGCAGUGGGGAAUUUUGCGCAAUGGGGGAAACCCUGACGCAGCAACGCCGCGUGGAGGAUGAAGUCCCUUGGGACGUAAACUCCUUUCGACCGGGAAGAUUAUGACGGUACCGGAAGAAGAAGCCCCGGCUAACUUCGUGCCAGCAGCCGCGGUAAUACGAGGGGGGCAAGCGUUGUUCGGAAUUAUUGGGCGUAAAGGGUGCGUAGGCGGUUCGGUAAGUCUUGUGUGAAAUCUUCGGGCUCAACUCGAAGUCUGCACGAGAAACUGCCGGGCUUGAGUGUGGGAGAGGUGAGUGGAAUUUCCGGUGUAGCGGUGAAAUGCGUAGAUAUCGGAAGGAACACCUGUGGCGAAAGCGGCUCACUGGACCACAACUGACGCUGAGGCACGAAAGCUAGGGGAGCAAACAGGAUUAGAUACCCUGGUAGUCCUAGCCCUAAACGAUGAUCGCUUGGUGUGACGGGUACCCAAUCCCGCCGUGCCGAAGCU
Molecule: ribosomal RNA, 761 nt
Filed under: uncultured Acidobacteriota bacterium
Lineage: Bacteria; Pseudomonadati; Acidobacteriota
Description: bacterial SSU rRNA
Rfam family: Bacterial small subunit ribosomal RNA
Source: RNAcentral